AAUCAGUCUUUAGCAAAAAAGUUCAGUGCCCAGGCCCUGAGUUCAAGUCCCAUGACUAGCACAAAAAAGAAAAGAAAAGAAAUAAUAAUGUACAAGUUACUAUUUAAAUAUCAAGCAAGUAUGGAUAGCCAAAGUGAAAGUUUGAAAUAACAAACUGUCUUCAAUUCCCAUCAAUAAUGAUUCAGAACCUCAAACUAGUGACUUAAUUUUUAAGAUCUCUGAAAAAUAAGUUUUAAAUUCUCUAUGGCAAAAGAAAGCUCACCAAGAUAGACCUACAGUUUAAUGCUAUACUUUAAGUAGAUGUAUUUUAGAUGUAGAUAUUAAAACAACUGCACUAACAAACCAGUGAUUUCUUAACAGUGUGGCAUUUACCAAGUAUCUAUUGGCUUGAAAUAUCUGAGUUUAAAACUGCUCUUCAAUACCUAUAGAUAAAACAAGGACUAAGAAAUGUAAAAAACAGGUUAUUAAUGAUGGUCAUGUAAUAUGUCAAAUGUGAGUUCAAAAUAAAGACAGCUCCAAACUUAAUUCCCAAAUCAAGUCCACACUGUUUUGCCUCCCUUUUAGAGCUCCCAUCUUCUCACACUUAUAUCUUUAUAAUUAUAAAAGCACAUUAUAGAAAGUAGUGCUGCUUUUUAAUAUAAUGACAUACCAAUGUCUGUCCCUAUGGCCUUUUUAUUCAUGAAGUUUCCAACAACAUAAAAGGCCUUUUUCUCUUUCCCUGAUGUUAACUCCAAGUCAAGAUAACACACUAAAAGAUCAAUUCUUCCUUUUUCAAUGCAGCCUCCCCAACAAUUUUAGGCUGUUUCUUGGAUUCAGUACCAUAUAUAUGAUUAACCACUUUCAUAUAAGGUUUUAAUUUUAUCUCUUCAAAUUUAUGCUUAACUAACUGAAAAUAAUAUUCAUAUUUUAUACACCUUUUGUAUUCCCCACACAGCCUAGUUCAUUGUUGGGCAAACAGGAAGUGAAAUAUUAAUCAUUCUGGUUUCUUUUGUAAAUGUUUAAAAUAGUUAAGGGAAUUUAACUUUUAAUGUUAUAAUCAGUCAGUAGACUAUUAGCAAUGAAACUGUCAUCUUUCUAAAUGAUUAAAACAAAGCAAAAUAAAACAGAAUUACGUUCUAAUAUGCUAUCUUGAAUGGAAGAAAAGAAAAAUGUGUACAGAAAUUAAACACUUAGUAUUUCAUAAGUGGAUAUUGCAUUAAAGAAGAGGACUGAAAAAUAUUACUUUGGAUUACCAACUACCUGCCAGAAUUAAAUGAAUGAAUACCAUGAACCCUAUCAAUGUGCAAAUUACUUCAUCAAGUAUUCUCAAAUUUAUGUAAAUUAACUUCACUGUAUCAAUUGUUAAUAUUAUUUUAUCAACUGCACACUAAGACUUAGCUUCUGUCUAGAACAGAGUCAUUGGUCUCAAGGAAAUACAGCCAGAAAAUUAUGGAAGAUCUCUAUAAAUUCAUCUAUCUACCUUGCUAAAAACAAGAGAAUGAUCACUUUACUAGUAAAAGUACACUAUUUUGAUAACAUGUCAUGCCCUACUUUAAAGGUCAUGACAAAGGACAAAUAUAAGUUAUAUAUAUAAACUAUGUAACAGAGUGAAGGAUUAUUCUAUUCUACUUGAGAUAAUCGCAUCAUCUCUAAAGCUGCAAUCAAAUGGAAACACUAUUAAUAAGAAUGGCUUCCUUAGACUACACUUCACAUAAAAACCCCUUACAUAGGAUCUUAAAUCCCAAAACCAGAAGUAUUCUGGCAUCAAGUUUAUGUUAACUUAUAUAAACCUAGUAUUAUCUCCCAGUAAUAAAUACAAGACAGCCUAAAAGGGUAUCUCUCUUUGAAUAAAUUUUUCCCCAGAAAAUGUCUGUAACAUAUGUAUGAUAUGUUGUUCUCACAUAUUAAUUAUUUAUUAAUAUAUAAGUUUUAAUGUAUGUAUGUGUGUAUCAGUCAAAAUUGCUCUAAGCAGUUAGAAAGUGGCUUUAUCCCUCAUGCUCUCAUUAUCAUUAAUUAAUUUUUUUUUACCACUUCGUUUUUAGAAUGUGAAGUGAGGAAUUUCUACUGUAUGGUAUUAAGACUUUAUAGCACUGUAAGUUCAGAGCCCAUUUUCUUUUUUUUCUUUCUGAUUGAUAUACCAUAUGAAUGUUUGGUAACUAUGUUAUUUAUUAAGUAAAAGUGCUUUGAACAAUAACGAGAUAUAAUACUCCACCAUUCUUAUAAAGCUCAAUAUUACAAGGCAUCUAUCCAAGUAAAUUUUUUUUAGAUUAUGAUAAAGACUUUUCUUUCAUAGAAAUUUCUAAGGCUAAUAAGUACUCUGUUAUUCAACAGUUCCCUCCCUACCCACCCAAAAACCAGAAAGCAUAAAUUCACAGAUUCUUGACGGU
This is a long non-coding RNA of Perognathus longimembris pacificus (Pacific pocket mouse), 2366 nucleotides long. RefSeq lists it as uncharacterized. NCBI's taxonomy places the organism in Eukaryota, Metazoa, Chordata, Mammalia, Rodentia, Heteromyidae. The transcript is spliced from 3 exons. The record is from RefSeq and is a predicted model, not a curated record.